CCUACGGGGGACAGCAGUGAGGAAUAUUGGUCAAUGGGCGAGAGCCUGAACCAGCCAAGUCGCGUGAGGGAGUACUGCCCUAUGGGUUGUAAACCUCUUUUGUCGGGGAGCAAAAGCCGGACGUGUCCGGCUGUGAGAGUACCCGAAGAAAAAGCAUCGGCUAACUCCGUGCCAGCAGCCGCGGUAAUACGGAGGAUGCGAGCGUUAUCCGGAUUUAUUGGGUUUAAAGGGUGCGCAGGCGGAUUUUUAAGUCAGCGGUAAAAUCGUGGGGCUCAACCCCAUCCAGCCGUUGAAACUGGGGAUCUAGAGUGUGCGAGAGGUAUGCGGAAUGCGUGGUGUAGCGGUGAAAUGCAUAGAUAUCACGCAGAACCCCGAUUGCGAAGGCAGCAUACCGGUGCACAACUGACGCUCAGGCACGAAAGCGUGGGUAUCGAACAGGAUUAGAUACCCCGGUAGUC
This 458-nucleotide ribosomal RNA is filed under the name uncultured bacterium. RNAcentral describes it as "partial 16S ribosomal RNA". It matches the Rfam family "Bacterial small subunit ribosomal RNA", at positions 338 to 795 of the family's 1533-position model. The record is from RNAcentral.